GCCAGUUUGGCUCAGUGGAUAGAGUGUCAGCCUGCAGACUGAAGGGUCCCAGGUUUGAUUCCGGUAAAGGGCA
Molecule: transfer RNA, 73 nt
Filed under: Myotis davidii
Lineage: Eukaryota; Metazoa; Chordata; Mammalia; Chiroptera; Vespertilionidae
Rfam family: tRNA
About the family: Transfer RNA (tRNA) molecules are approximately 80 nucleotides in length. Their secondary structure includes four short double-helical elements and three loops (D, anti-codon, and T loops).
Source: Rfam by way of RNAcentral